UAGGGAAUCUUCGGUAAUGGACGGAAAGUCUGACCGAGCAACGCCGCGUGAGUGAAGAAGGUUUUCGGAUCGUAAAACUCUGUUGGUAGAGAAGAACGUUGGUGAGAGUGGAAAGCUCAUCAAGUGACGGUAACUACCCAGAAAGGGACGGCUAACUACGUGCCA
RNAcentral lists this ribosomal RNA (165 nucleotides) under uncultured bacterium. Its description in RNAcentral is "partial 16S rRNA". It matches the Rfam family "Bacterial small subunit ribosomal RNA", at positions 355 to 510 of the family's 1533-position model. The record is from RNAcentral.